AUUGAACGCUGGCGGCAUGCUUUACACAUGCAAGUCGAACGGUAACAGGCCGCAAGGUGCUGACGAGUGGCGAACGGGUGAGUAAUGCAUCGGAACGUGCACAGUCGUGGGGGAUAACUACUCGCAAGAGUAGCUAAUACCGCAUACGAUCUAUGGAUGAAAGCGGGGGACCGUAAGGCCUCGCGCGAUUUGAGCGGCCGAUGUCAGAUUAGGUAGUUGGUGGGGUAAAGGCUCACCAAGCCAACGAUCUGUAGCUGGUCUGAGAGGACGACCAGCCACACUGGGACUGAGACACGGCCCAGACUCCUACGGGAGGCAGCAGUGGGGAAUUUUGGACAAUGGGCGCAAGCCUGAUCCAGCAAUGCCGCGUGCAGGAAGAAGGCCUUCGGGUUGUAAACUGCUUUUGUACGGAACGAAACGGCUCUGGUUAAUACCCGGGGCUAAUGACGGUACCGUAAGAAUAAGCACCGGCUAACUACGUG
RNAcentral lists this ribosomal RNA (482 nucleotides) under uncultured bacterium. RNAcentral describes it as "partial 16S ribosomal RNA". It matches the Rfam family "Bacterial small subunit ribosomal RNA", at positions 30 to 507 of the family's 1533-position model. The record is from RNAcentral.